This 301-nucleotide long non-coding RNA is filed under the name Lepidothrix coronata (blue-crowned manakin). Its description in RNAcentral is "lncRNA (ENSLCOG00000014493.1)". Lineage: Eukaryota; Metazoa; Chordata; Aves; Passeriformes; Pipridae. The record is from RNAcentral.
GCACUCCACUUCAGAUGCCAGUGUUCACUCAGAUACCUCCUGAGAACGAAAAUGAGCUACUCAGCUUCCUUUGAAAGGCAGAUUCUUUGUUGAUGGUUCUUCUGACUGUAGAAUAUCUGAACUCUGUCUUUAAGAAACUAUUCUGCAUGAUGGAAGUGGAUAUUAACAUCAAACUAUAACAGGCAUAGCUGGAGACAAGACUCGAUGUGUUAGAUCUUGUCUUGAGCUCAAUAGCCUGUCAGUGAUGUGCAACUGGUGUUGAGCAGCUCCAUGCCGCACGGGAGACUCAGGGGAAGCAGGA